GUCGCUACUACCGAUUGAAUGGCUUGGUGAGAUCUCCGGAUUGGCGUUGGGGAGCCGGCAACGGCACCCCUUGGCUGAGAAGCUGAUCAAACCUGGUCAUUUAGAGGAAGUAAAAGUCGUAACAAGGUUUCC
This 132-nucleotide ribosomal RNA is filed under the name uncultured Ramularia. Its description in RNAcentral is "partial small subunit ribosomal RNA". It matches the Rfam family "Eukaryotic small subunit ribosomal RNA", at positions 1675 to 1804 of the family's 1831-position model. The record is from RNAcentral. Lineage: Eukaryota; Fungi; Ascomycota; Dothideomycetes; Mycosphaerellales; Mycosphaerellaceae.